ACUCGGAAACCUUUGUCCCAAGCUCUUUGUGUCUGAACUGUCUGGCGGUAACUAUGACAAAUUGACAAUGUCCUGUUGAAUAUUCAAUGAAUAUUAAAUUGGACAUUGUCAUGCAUAGUUAUACUGGCCGACAGUUUAGACACAAAGAGCUUGGGAUAAAGGUUUCCGGGU
Non-coding RNA from Paramuricea clavata, 171 nucleotides. The record is from the annotation of a GenBank genome assembly. Lineage: Eukaryota; Metazoa; Cnidaria; Anthozoa; Malacalcyonacea; Plexauridae.